CCUGUGUUGAUAGAGUGGCUUUGUGUGCUAGGUGUCCUAUAGGGCCCAGUGGCUCAGCCUUCCCAAUUACUGAGGUGGACACUCGUGGUGCACCCCUUUAUGGGCUGUGCGCACACGUGAGAAGGAUU
Molecule: long non-coding RNA, 128 nt
Organism: Myotis brandtii (Brandt's bat)
Lineage: Eukaryota; Metazoa; Chordata; Mammalia; Chiroptera; Vespertilionidae
Exons: 3
Source: RefSeq, a predicted model, not a curated record